This 12322-nucleotide long non-coding RNA is filed under the name Sarcophilus harrisii (Tasmanian devil). RNAcentral's name for it is "lncRNA (ENSSHAG00000027436.1)". The record is from RNAcentral. Lineage: Eukaryota; Metazoa; Chordata; Mammalia; Dasyuromorphia; Dasyuridae.
GUGGGACAGCGAGGAUCGCAGUGCGCGUGGCCGCGGUGGCUGGUGUGGGGUUGAGUCAGUUGUUAGUUGGGGGGGGGAAGCGACGGUCGUCAGACUGCCCGACCCGCUGGCUGAAGCAGGAAGCGAGCGAGUGGUGAGCCCAGGCUGGUGACUGUGCCUUUCUCGGAGUCCCGGCGCUUCGCCAUCUCUCCUCUCUCCCCCUUCUUCGGCUCCUCCCACUCUCCCUCCUCUGGACAACCCCCCCUCCCCCCCACCCAGGCAAACCGCCGCCUCGGGCGCGCCCCCGCACCCCCUGUGCUGUCUCUCCGAUGGCGGCCGCUGCCGGGGCCAUGGCAAAGCACGAGCAGAUCCUGCUUCUCGACCCGCCCACAGACCUCAAAUUUAAAGGUAGGUAGCGAGGUGGGCCUAGAUGAAGCUAGUGGGGAGAGAGACCGUCAGCUUCCCGCUUCGGGUCCCUUCAUCUUUUUCUUGUUUUUGGUGGGGGUGGAGGGCUUGGCGAGGGGGAAGGAGCGUCGUCCGUCCCUUCUCCCCGUUUUCCAUGUUUCUCUCCCCUUCUCCAGCUCUCUUCUCGCCUUUCUCGGCGUCAGCCUUUCCUCCCUUCUCCCCUCCCCCGCCCGUUCACACUCACACUCAGUUUCACGCGCGCGCACGCCCAGCUUGUGGCGGGGGCUGAUGGGGGGGGGGUGGCAGUGGAGGAGGCCGCGGCCGAGGGAAGGAAAGGCGAGCCGAGCUUGGGGUGCCGGGACCAGGCGCCUUGGCCGCCAUCUUGGGAUCCCGCCGGGAGGCAGCUUCUGGGUCUUGGGUUCCCGGCAGUCCUUUCUUCUCCCUCCUUUGGCUGUCUCCUGCCCUGACAUUCCUUCUCUGCCCCUCGGGACUCGUUGGGGUUUUUCCGGGACGGGCGGGGGAGGCGGCUCCGCAGAGUGUGCGCCGGGGGGCUCCUGCUGGGUCCGGGGGUGGCUCAGUCAGGCUCCCGCGGGCGCGGGCUCCAGGCAGUUCUUCUGGAGCCUCCGGGACUCGCUCGGCCUCCUCGGAGCUCGGCGGAGCCCCUGGUCCUCCAGGUUUUGGGGUCCGCUGUUUGUCGGGCUGGUAACUGCCUGUGAGGCCGACCUACGCUGCUUGCCUGAACCAUUCCCUCGGAGGAGCCUCCUGGGACGAGGGGGAGAGAUGCUCGUUAUCCCGGUUAUGGUGGUAGAGAGCCGAGCGAAUCUCUCAGCGCUUGGGGAGAGGCUUUGGUGUGGAUGAUUCUUGACCUCUUGCCCCUUCACAGAUGUAGUCACUACAAAUCUUAAACUUCGAAACCCAUCAGACAGAAAAGUAUGUUUCAAAGUGAAGACAACAGCACCUCGUCGGUACUGUGUGAGACCGAACAGUGGAAUUAUUGAUCCAGGGUCAACUGUAACUGUUUCAGUAAUGCUACAGCCUUUUGACUACGAUCCAAAUGAGAAGAGUAAACACAAGUUUAUGGUACAGACGAUUUUUGCACCAUCAAACACUUCAGAUAUGGAGGCUGUGUGGAAAGAAGCAAAACCUGAUGAACUCAUGGAUUCCAAAUUGAGAUGUGUAUUUGAAAUGCCCAAUGAAAAUGAUAAAUUGUCACUCCCUUAUAUCAUGCAAGAAAAAUCUGAUGCGUUUGAUGCCAGUCUGAGAGUGUGUUUCCCAUGCCACCUCAGGGUAUAUCUACACCAGGGACCGGUUUCACUACUCCAGUCAGCAUCAUCACCUCAGUUGCAACACCUGCCAAUUAUAGCCUGAAGACUGACCCCAGGGCAUCACACAGUAUGUUCAAACAGCAAAAGCCUAAGAUUGAUAUGGAACCUAGCAAAGCUCUUCCACUGAAUGCAUCUAAACAAGAUGGACCCAUGCCAAAACCACAUAGUGUUUCACUCAAUGAUACUGAAACAAGGAAACUAGUGGAAGAGUGUAAAAGACUUCAGGGAGAAAUGAUGAAAUUAUCAGAAGAAAAUCGACACCUGAGAGAUGAAGGUUUAAGGCUCAGAAAGGUAGCACAUGCGGAUAAAGCUGGAUCAAGCUCAGCCAUGUCUUUCAGAGAGAAUGUCACCAGUCCUCUUCCUUCACUUCUUGUUGUAAUUGCAGCCAUUUUCAUUGGAUUCUUUCUAGGCAAAUUCAUCUUGUAGAGUGAAGCAUGCAGAGUGCUGUUUCCUUUUUUUUUCUUGACCAGAAAAAGAUUUGUUUACCUACCAUUUCAUUGGUAGUAUGGCCCACAGUGACCAUUUUUUUUUGUGUACAGCGUCAUGAUAGGCUUUGCCUUUAAUGAUCUCUCACGGUUAGAAAACACAAUAAAAACAAACUGUUCGGCUACUGGACAAAUUGUAUAUUAUAUCAGAUCAUCAAUAGCAGGUGUCAGUUGCACAUUCAGUCCUUUAUGAAAUUCAUAAAUAAAGAAUUGUUCUUUGUGGUUUUAAUAAGAGUUCAAGAAUUGUUCAGAGUCUUGUAAAUGUUAUUUUAAUAAUCCCUUUAAAUUUUAUCUGUUGCUGUUACCUCUUGAAAUAUGAUUUAUUUAGAUUGCUAAUCCCACUCAUUCAGGAAUAUGCCAAGAGGUAUUCUGUGGGGAAAUGGUGCCUCUUACAGUGUAAAUUUUCUCCUUUACCUUUGCUAAUAUCAUGGCAGAAUUUUUCUUAUCCCUUGUGAGGCAGUUGUUGACUUGAGUUUUUCAUCCUUACAAUCCUGUCCCAUGGUAUUUAACAUAAAAAAAAUAAAACUGUUAACAGAUUCUUGCUGGGUAGCCUGUUUGUGUCUCUUAUAUCAUUAGAAGGGGAUACCUAAGAAGUGUUUUGUGUAUAAUAAUUUGAGACUAAUAAUGCAUUCUCUCAACACUCAACCCCAUGUAUUUGACUUAUUCUGAUAUUUGUAAUUAAAUCUGGAAGGAAAAAAAAACACAAAAUGAAAUCUGUUCUUAGAAGGAAAAAUGAUGAAUUUUGAUGCUGCUUUUAGUAUUAUGGAUGAUGAUAAUCAAAAAUAUCUUCACCAUGAUCAUUUGAAACACACAAAAAACUAUAGGGAUUAAAGCAUUUUAAUUAUAGUAAAAUUGCAUAUGUUUAAAUGUCUAUUGCAUUGAAUGUACCACUGUCCUAUCAGUUUUUUUUUUUUUUUUUUUUUUGGUGUCUUCCUGAAGGAGACUAAUUCUCCUUAAUUCUAAUCAAGUACUUUUAAACCAAGAUAAUUAUUUUUAUCAAAUUUAUAACUUAUUUUAAAAUAUUAAACUAGGUGUAUUUUUUCCCCCAGUUUUACAUACAAAAUAAAUUUCCACAAUGGAAAGUUGAUGUUACUGAGCAAGUCUUAAAUAUUCCUGAAAAAUGAUUUAACUACUCUUUGCAAAAUUUAUUUGUUAACCGUGUAAACCAUUUUCAAUUUAAGAAUGCAUUUAGGGGUCUGUUACUUUUCUGCACCUAGUCUUGCUUCAUUUCAUUUAUACUAAUUGUAGGUAAUAAUAGAAUAAGAGAACAGUGAUUGGAUAUAAAUGUAAGGUAGCAUAUUUGAAUCUUAAUAAAUGAAUAUGUGUGUGCUUUUUAAAAAUGUGUCUAAGUGAAAAUGAAGCAUAUUAGUCUUCCUGGCCUGUGGGACUUGAUGUGGUGCAGUGAAGUGUAUCAGAUCCGGUUCUAAAUGCACAUUUUAUAAGUUAUGAAAUGUUUUAGAGAAAACAAUAUUUUGGUUGAUUUCUAGUUUUCUUCAAUGGACAGAUCCACAUGUAUCAUGUUAUUGCUGUCUCUGGUAACUUCUUGCCUGUGUACAAAGACAUCUAUGAAACAUAUGAGUAAUGCUUACCUUUUGCCAUUAGCAUGCAACCACACAAGAUCCUUCCAUGGUGUAUGCUCUAUUGUCUUUGUAGAAGUUUCCUCCCAUUCUUAUAACUGGAAAAGCAUGCUUACGAGGCUUACAUUUUCUUUACGUAAAUUUGAAAACAUAAUCCCUUGGCCUAAAGUUCUGUUUUUAACUUUAAAUUGAUGACAAACUCCCCCUUAAAAGUUAAUGUCACAAAGAAUGCAGUGAAACUUUGUAGGUUAUGGAAGAGAAUUAUAAAUCUUUGAAGAGAGCAUUGAAAUAAUUUAAAUCCCUUCAUUUUAUAGAUGGGACAACUAAGCCCAGGGGAGGUAGUUACCUAAGUCCAAGGUCAGACAAAUUAGAUCCCCUAGAAGAAAGGUGGAUUCUGUGUCAAAAGACUGAGAUCUCCCAAUUCCUAGGCUAGUGCUGUUUCCAAUACUUUAGUAAACAGUGAUUUCAUCACAAUGGGAGAGAAGAACUAAAAUAAUUAGUGUGAGAUUCUAUUUUAAUGGGUAUAUGUGUAAUUUCAUAUUAAUGGUGGGAUUGUAUUACAGAUAUUUUUGUUUAAUAGAUAUAGGUUUGACCUCAAUGCUUAAGUUUUAGGAAUGGCCAUAUGACAUGGUAUCAAAACUUAUGAAAUUGAAUCUAUUUUUAAAUGGCUAUUAUACAAGAUUGAAUACAUAGGGGGUGAUCAUGCACUAUUAUGUGGUUUAGGAAGCAUCAACAAAAUAAAUGUGCACGUAGGCAUUUUAACCCAGUCUAUAUACCACAAGGUGCUUUAAUAAUGUUGGGGGAGGGUGAGGCUGUGACUUGGUUUCUAGUAAACGCUUUCAUAGCUGUAUAAAAUGUAAUGCUCAUUUAUUUUGCUAUCAGGAGUCACCUUGAAAAAGUCCAACUGUUUAGUAAAUAAGAGAAUAUGGAUUAAAUUGUUUGUCUUUGUUCCAUACAUGUUUAGUUUUUUUUUUUUUUUGUUUUUUUUUUUUGCUUUGCCUGCUUACUUGUGUAUGUAAGCAUGGGGAAAUACAUCAUUACUAAUAGUUAGACUUACAACCAAGUGACUUAAGGCCUUAAGUUCAUGUUAUGCUAAAUGCACUACUUUCAUUCUUUCUAAAACUAAUGUACCCUAAUUUUGCCCAUUUUCUUGUAUUUACAAGAAACAUAUGAUUUGUAUUCUGAGUGUAUAGUAUGUUUUAAAAGUUUUUUAAAGAUGAAAUGGCACUUAGGAAAAAAUGUAGUAUAAAAGAUUCAGAAAUCCUGGAAAAUGAAAAAUAUAUUCUUAAUCCCUGAAGUAGUUUAGAUCAGUAUUUACCUUGUGAUUAAAAUUGGUAUUAUCUGUUGAAGGGGCUGUUUUAGAAUGUGAUCUUUCAAAAUGUGCCACUUAGAAAAAAGUUUUUGACAAGACAAAAAUAUUCUUGUGGAAUACAUUGCAAAAUUGUACUCAUCACUUUUAAAUGCUUUCAGUUAAUAGUAUGCCCAGAGCUUUUCACACCUAUUAAGUGAUCUUGGUGUGUGCAGUUAAAAAAAAAAAAUAAUUUGCCCUUUGUCAGAAUUAUAGGUAGAGAUAAAUGCUUAUAACAGAUGGAAAGCAACAAAAUAAGUAGGUAAUGAAUCUUUAUUUUCUAGCUUCCGGGGGGUGGGGUGGGUAUCAAACAACUGAGUGAGAAUAAAUAAACUAUUAAAAAUAGUGGUGGAGUCUCAUUUUCCUUUUUUAAAGAAAAAAAUUAAACAAAACCUGAUUAUUUACUGCUUCUAAAGAUGCUUGAUUAGUUGCAUUCCUGAAAAAUAAAGCUUAUGGUCCAAACUAUUGUUUAUAAUUUUCUAGUGAGAAAGCCAUUUGUGUGUGGGGGAGGGCAAGAAGAGAAUGGAUUUUAAAGAAGGGAAUGGAGAAGAAAAAUAUUUCUCUAAUUCUACCUCUAGUAAUAAACCUAAGAAAAAAUUUUUUUUUAAUCUCAGAAAAUCUUUCUGAGAAUAUUUUACUACUCUAGUGACCUGAAUUUUGAGGUGGCUUAGUCUCUUUCUGAAGGUAGUGUGAUUGUUGACCAGACAAGAGAAUUCUUGGAAUUUGGGGGGGGGGGGUAAAAAAAAAAUGAAGUUAUUAUUAUUAUUUUUUUUAUUGAGACAUUUUAAAUUCCCAAAGGUAGUGUGAUGAUACUUGGCUGGAGAAGAGGUUUCUUGCUAUUUAGGGGCAAAAAAUAAAGUUAAUAUUAAGACCCUUUUUACAUUGUCAAUGACAAACUUAAAAUGAUAAAAAUUAAGAAUAAUAUAAUUGACUAACAAGUAACUAAGUGCACCUUUUAAAGUUAUUUAAGAUAGAUAUUUGAGAUUUUACUCCUCACAGUGAUGACAGCACAAGUUAUGUAUAAUAGUAAACAUAGCUUUGGAGUUGGGAAGACCCGAGUUGAAAACCUAAUGAUACUGAGUGACUGGGAGUAAGUCUUACUUUUAGUCUCCCAGGUAAUUUAUGUAGUCUUUUGCAGAUUUGGCUUGUUAAAGAGUUUGUUCAUCAGUUCCUUAUAGCAGUAAAUUCUCAGAUCUACCAUACUACUCCUCUUUCACACUACGUCUACCCAUAAAACUUUGCUUCCUACACCCUGCUGUAUUUUUAGGAGUUUUUUUUUUCCUUAAAAAUCAAAUCUUGUAAGAAAUUAAGGAUUAUUUACUUUUGUAAUAGCAGUUUUGUUUAAAUUGAUGAUUUGUAUUUCUAAUGUAUAGGAAGAAGGGUGGUUUAUAAUGAAAGUAUUUGGAAAUAAAUGCAUUUUAGAGUUUGUACUUAAGAAAAUCAUUAAGUACUAUUUUUUACCGUCAUCUUUAUGUAAUGUACAAGCAGACCAAAUUGAUUUCCAGAGUCUAUUUUAUUUCAUGUUAUUUCUUUCCCCUACUUGUAUAUUUUUCAAAACCUGGUACUUAAGAUUUUAAAGGUAAGCCUCAGCAUGUUGGAUUUUGUUAAAAUGAGUCUCUUCCCCCCCUUCCCCAUUGUAAUUUCAAAUUAAUCUUCACCUUUGUAGCAAAAGUUACCAUGUUUUUCUAAUACUUUUAGGUUCCAAACUAAAAGUAGGAAUAAUUCCCUCUUUAUGAGAACACUGGGGCCUAAUUUUCACUCAUAUUUGUCCAUUGGCUCCUUCCCCCUCUUUAAAAUUGUCAAUAAAUUAUCAUCCUGAAGAAAAAGCUCAAAGUAAAAGUGCAUAUUGUCAUGAAGUACCAUAAUGUGGUAUCAAAGAAUGAGAUUUCUGGAAUUAUUUUUAAGAAAUAGAGGAAGAAAAAAUUGGAUUGGAAUCUAAUCCAGAGUUGUCAGACAUGAUGCACAUAAUGCUGUGAACACUCCUGACCUAGGUUAAAAUCUAGUUCCUAAUAGAUUUUAAUGAAAUGUGUGUGUAAAAUUUUUUUAAAGUCACUAUGUAUCCUGCAGAAAUCUUUGUGGUUUAGUGGCAUCUUUGUAUUUUGAGUUCUACAUCACUGGAUUGGGUAACCUUCUGAGGGUGGUUCUUAAUAAAGUUGUGAUUUCAUGAUUAUUUGAAGUAAUUCACCUCCCCCUUAGAAUUAGUGCCUACAGUGGCCUAAAAAAUGCACUGAGAAGUGACUUUGAGUAAUUGCUUAUGAAGGACUUUUAAAGUUUACACACUAUUUAGUGCAACAGUGCUAUAUGAAGUCAUUAUCCUUGUUUUGUACUUGAAACGAAAAAUCAAAUGGUAGAUGGCAGAAGCAGGAAUGACCUUUUCCCCCUUAUUUCCAUUUAGUUAGAAAUCAUUAAGGACACUACAAACUUUAUUUUUUAAAAAAUUUUUAAAUUUAUAGCUUUUUAUUUACAAGAUACAUGCAUGGGUUAUUUUUCAGCAUUGACAUUUGCAAAACCUUUUGUUCCAAUUUUUCCCCUCCUUGCCUCCACCCCUUUCUCCAGAUGCCAGGUAGACUAAUACAUGUUAAUUAUGUUAAAGUAUGUUAAAUACAAUAUAUGUAUACAUGUCCAUACAGUUGUUUUGCUGAGAAGAAUUGGACUUUGAACUAAUGUACAAUUAACCUGUGAAGGAAAUAAUGCAGACGGACAAAAAUAGAGGGAUUGGGAAUUCUAUGUAGUGGUUCACACUCAUUUCCCAGAGUUUUUUCGCUAGGUGUGGCUAUUAUUGAACAAAUGGAACUGAUUUGGUUCAUCUCGUUGAAGAGAGCCACAUCCAUCAGAAUUGAUCAUGAUAUAGUAUUGUUGUUGAAGUAUAUAAUGAUCUCUUGGUCCUGCUCAUUUCACUUAGCAUCAGUUCAUAUAAGUCCAGGCCCUUUUGAAAUCAUCCUGGUCAUUUCUUAUAGAACAAUAAUAAUCCAUAACAUUCAUAUAUCACAAUUUAUUCAGCCUUUCUCCAAUUGAUGGGCAUCUACUGAAUUUCCAGUUUCUGGCCACUACAAAGAGGGCUGCCAUAAACAUCCUUGCUCAUAUAGGUCCCUUUCCCUUGAAGAUCUCUUUGGGAUAUAAGCCCAGUAACACUGCUGGAUCAAAGGGUAUGCACAGUUUGAUAAAUUUGAACUUAGUUCCAAAUUGCUCUCCAGAAUGGCUGGAUGAAUUCCACCACCAAUGUAUCGAAGGACACUACAAACUAGGCAAUACUAUUUAGACAGGUGAAACAUGACUAUUAAGUAGAGUAUACAUGUAUAUGUAUUUGUCCAUAUGUGUAUAUACACACAGUUUUAGGAAAAAGUGUUAUUGAUUUGGGGAGUCAGAAAAGGCCGCCUACUAGAUAGCUAACUAAGUCUUGAAAGUGUAUUGGGAUUUUAAGAGACAGGUAGAGGGGACAGCCUAAGGAGCUAGAAAUGUCAUAUGAGGAUCAGCAAGUAGACCAAGUUGGCUAGAAUAUAGAGUAUAAAAGAUGUGUUAGAUUAAGAUGGGUUUUAAAUGCCAACUAGAGGAAUUUGUAUUUUAUCUUUGAGGUAAUAGAGAAAAGCUCAAGCUUUUUAAAGUGACUGAUGCUUUGGAGUUACUUUGUCAGUCCUGAAUAGUAUAGGUAUGAAAGAGUAAUUAAACCCUUAAUAACUGUGUACUCAUGAAUUGUUGAAUAAGUGAUCUGAAUUAAAGUGAGCAUAAUGUGACAUUCAGUGAUGGAUGAAAAAUGAUGUAGACUACAGUUUGAGAGGAUGAGAAGAAUAGAUGACUACCAAGUUACUUUGGUUAAGUGCUUUUGACAGACAUGAGAUGAGUAGGUUCAGAGAGGAACAGUUCUUUCUUUGUACAUACUGAAUUUGAGCUGCCAUCUCGAUGUAGAUUUCCAGCAGGCAUUUGGAGAUUUGGGACAGAAGCUCAGGAGAGAAGAGCGGGCUACAUAUGUAGAUUUCGAUCACCUGCAUGGAACCCAUGAGAGCUGAUGAGGUCACUAAGUGUAGAAUUAAUAUCCAGGUGGGAGCCCUGAGCCCAUAGAGGAGCAGGGGUCAGAACAUGGAUCAUAGAACUGUUUGCUGAAAACCCAAAUAUACUAACUUAAACAUGGCAGAAAAGUCAAAGAAAGCUGAGAAAAGAUUAUUGGAUUUAACAAGAUACUUGUCUGUCUUAUCUCCCUCACCCUUUCCUAUUUUAUUAAAAGAACAUCAAGAUCCUCUAUUCUGAAAUGAUGUAAUUCCAUAGUGAGUGUUUUUAAUUGGUUCUAAAAUGGUGCUAUUAUAGGAUGAUUUAAUUUCUGUCUGCUUGAGAGAAUGGGAAGGAGCAUUCAACUUAACUUCUUCAAAGUUAAAUUCUCAACUUGAAACAGGAAGUUAGAUUAGCCAAGUAGCAUCAUGCUUACAUAGUAAAGAAUCUCAAAACAUGCUGUCUCUUGAAGUUAAUCAUGUAAGAAAACAUUGAAUUUGUUUUUGCACAAUUAAAAAGAUUGCUAAGUAAAUGGAAUAUUAUAAAAACAGGAGAAUGUCGUUAAGAAAACACUGCUUCCCUUUCUGCCCUCCUUCCCUUUGUCUGAUCUUUUGUGUACAACUGAUAUCACUUACGAUAUCACUAGUAGAUCUUUGAUGAGUUUCUAACAGGCAAUCCUUGUUUUUCCUCAAUUCUAGUUACUAGGUAACACUGGAUCUGUGAUUUUGUUAUUACAGGAAGCAUUUAUCUCAGCAUUACUUUGACUUUGAAGAUGAGAUGGAACAGUAAUCCAUACUGUUCAUAAAAGGUCACAAUAUCUCAUGAUCUUAUAAACAUUAUCAGAACAAAGGCGAUUUGCAAUAACCCACUUAAUUUCAUUAGUACUCAUGAAUGCACAAGGCAAGGUGAUAUGUGUUUUCUGAAGCAGGAUCUCAAACAAGAAGGGACAGAAUUCAUCUACUUUGAGCCAUUUAUUUUACCGAAGUGGAAGCUGAGGUGUUUCAGUCUACUUAAAUGGCUUUCCAAAGGUUAUCAAGUAAAUGCAGAAUCUAGACUCCUUUUGACUUAAUGUGUACCUCUCUCCAUCACAUUGUUAACUUCAUAACAAAGAGAAAAAUGAUUUUGACUAUCUUGUUUUAACAUACAUUUUCUAAAAUGUUUUAACAUACGUUUUCUAAACAUACAUUUUCUAAAAACGAAAACCUAGCAAAAUUAACCAACAUCAAAUCCUGACCAACACAGUGUCCUACACAGGUUAGUCCCCCUCCCCUGCAAAAGGCUGAAAGGAAUCUCACACACAUACACACGUACACACACACAUCCCAACAACUCAGUGAAUGUAUACUUUUAUUGUUCGGUUGUGUCCAUCCCUAUGGGCUAUACUAUCCAUAGUUUUCUUGGCAAAGAUACUGGGUAGUUUGUCAUUCCCUUCUCUAGUGAAUUAAGGCAAUAUUUAAGAUAUUGAAGAUGUAGGCACAGAUGUUAUGAAGAUCAAAGGAGAUAAAAUAUUUUACAAACCUUAAAGCUUUAAAUAAUUGAUAUUAGCUUACUGUUAUUCUCAUGAUGACUACAUUCCUUCUGAGCUUGAGCAAUGUUUGUAGAGCAAUGCAGGAGUGUGCUGGUAAAUAGCAAUCUGGCUCUCUGGAAGAAAAAAAUGCAUCAUUUUAUCUGCAUUAUCAACAUUUUCUUAAGUCUAAAGACUCACCAAAACAAAUCACUUGUAACACUUGACUUUCAAGAUCCUGAUAGACCCCUGGAUGGAGAGAUCUCUUAGAAUUUUAGUGGAAUAUUUUUCAUACUAUAAUUGUAUUUUCAUUUUAAAUCCAAACAGUGCCAGUUGAUAAAGAAUAAACCUAUUUAAGAAUUCUUUUAUUGCUUUUUUAAGGUAUUGUUUUCAGUUGUGUGUUACCUGAUCACAUCUCUUUGUGUAUGAUACUUCAUAAUACCAUCACAUUGCCUAUAUUGAUUUUGUUCAAAUUAUUAGGCUUUAAAAGAAAUUCUUUUCUCUCUAUCAAACUGCUUUCCAAUGGAAAACUAACCAGGGAAAUUAGAACAGGAGGAGUGCCUAUUUUGAAAACAGAGAAUGGAGAAUGUCCCAAACUCAGGUGAUAACUGCUUGAGAUUGAAGAGAUUUGAGAGAUUAUUGUAUUGUUUCACAUACUUGUUUUUCAGAUGACAAAACAGUGCCUGACAGGUUAUGACUUGCUCAGAGUCACAAAGCUAAUGAAUAUCAGAACUGUCAAUUCUCAGUAGGGCAUCACAGUUAGGAAUCUAAUGUUCAGUCUCUAAGGCAUCUAAAGAUUAGUUAGUCUAAUUCUAUAAAUCAGUAAUGAAGUCUCCAAAUUCACACAGGUUGUGAUAGAAGUGGGCUUUGAAUGUAGGCCCUUUAAUUCCAUUUUUGAUGCCCUCUCUACUACACCAUUAAUGAUUCAUUCUAUGAACUUAACUAUAGAGUUAGGAAACAGAUUUGAACUUUAUCUCAUUGCAGAAAGCUGAUUUUUAGAUAACCCCCUGAUAUGAAUUUUUUCCCCUCUCAAAUGGCCUUUUUAUAAAAGCAGGAAGAAGAAUGGAGGAAAGAAAUGCCCAAUUUUCAAAGGUUCCACUUAAUUGAAUUCAGACGGUACAUUUUGUUUUUCUUUCCUUUUAUUCAGAAUGUUUUUGAAUAGUAUUAUAUAUAAAAAAUACAAUUUUCAGGAAGCCUACUUGGACACAAUUCUCUUAGACUUGGUUCAGUGACAGAUGGUAAUGCACUCUGUUUUAUAACACACUUUAGGGAAGACUAGGUAAGUGAGAAGUUGGGUAGUUUAUAAGAUCAUGCUGAAGUAGGAGGCUGAAUUUGGAGUUAUAGAACUUGAAGAGGGAACCCCAAAACUCUGAAAAUCCUUAAAGGAGAAAAUCUCCUUCAACUCUGCCUCACUGAGGGGACUCCACCUGAAGCACAAACAGUUUCAUCUUUCUUAUCUGAGUGGGGUUGGCUCUGUCCCGAGACCCAUUGAAUUCAAUUCAAAUUCUUGCCCUAGCUGAAACCCAUCGAGGAGUCAACCUGGGACUCUACCCACAAGCCCCCUUCAGCUUGUAGCCAAAUCCCCUAUUGUAAAAGAGCCAAACUAAAAUCCUCUCUUUGCAAAGGUUCCAAACAUGCCAGCCCUAUGUUUGGCACACCAAGAAUUGCUGCCCAAUGGAAUACUGUUUCCAGUGCUAUCCUCUCUUUUCCCUCACCUA